UUUUAUUUGAGAGUUUGAUCCUGGCUCAGGAUGAACGCUGGCGGCGUGCCUAACACAUGCAAGUUGAGCGAUUUACUUCGGUAAAGGGCGGCGGACGGGUGAGUAACGCGUGGGUAACCUACCCUGUACACACGGAUAACAUACCGAAAGGUAUGCUAAUACGGGAUAAUAUAUUUGAGAGGCAUCUCUUGAAUAUCAAAGGUGAGCCAGUACAGGAUGGACCCGCGUCUGAUUAGCUAG
Molecule: ribosomal RNA, 240 nt
Filed under: Clostridioides difficile
Lineage: Bacteria; Bacillati; Bacillota; Clostridia; Peptostreptococcales; Peptostreptococcaceae
Description: partial 16S ribosomal RNA
Rfam family: Bacterial small subunit ribosomal RNA
Source: RNAcentral